GAGACUCUGUGCGCGUGCAUAUCAAUAAGCGGAGGAAAAGAAACUAACAAGGAUUCCCUUAGUAACGGCGAGUGAAGCGGGAAGAGCUCAAAUUUGAAAUCUUCAAGGUUCUACCUUGACGAAUUGUAGUUUAUAGAAGUGUUUUCUGUUAGUAGAGUGGCAAAAGUUCUUUGGAAUAGGACAUCAUAGAGGAUGAGAAUCCCGUAUUUGGUCAUUCUUUCUAGCUUUGUGAUACACUUUCAACGAGUCGGAUUGUUUGGGAAUGCAGUCCAAAAUGGGUGGUAAAUUUCAUCUAAAGCUAAAUAUUGGCGAGAGACCGAUAGCGAACAAGUACCGUGAGGGAAAGAUGAAAAGAACUUUGAAAAGAGAGUUAAACAGUACGUGAAAUUGUCAAAAGGGAAGCGUUUGACACCAGUGUUGUUUUUCCGAAAAUCAAUUACGAAUGUUUUAGUUUUUAAGAAGUUAUGACUUCAUCGGCUUGCUUCUCUCUUUAUGAAACUUUCUUAAUGCACUUUUCGGUUAACAAGUCAACAUCAAUUUCUUUUGUUGUAAAAGGGUAUGAGGAAGGUGGCUUUCUUUUCGGAGAAAGUGUUUAUAGCCUUGUACCUCUGCAAUCGGAGAGAUUGAGGUCUGCAGCGUAGAUCCUUCGGGGUUAGAUACAUUUGUGUUAAGUUAUAGCUUUUCAUAGACAACUUGUUGACUAUGUUUAGUCUUGUAGCUUACUCGCUGAUGCUAUUUUACCUACGCUUAGGAUGUUGAACUCUAUCACACACAG
This 775-nucleotide ribosomal RNA is filed under the name uncultured Neocallimastigales. RNAcentral describes it as "partial large subunit ribosomal RNA". It matches the Rfam family "Eukaryotic large subunit ribosomal RNA", at positions 23 to 634 of the family's 3401-position model. The record is from RNAcentral. Lineage: Eukaryota; Fungi; Neocallimastigomycota; Neocallimastigomycetes; Neocallimastigales.